Molecule: RNA transcript, 2611 nt
Organism: Arachis stenosperma
Lineage: Eukaryota; Viridiplantae; Streptophyta; Magnoliopsida; Fabales; Fabaceae
Gene name: disease resistance protein RPV1-like
Exons: 3
Source: RefSeq, a predicted model, not a curated record
ACCUAAAAUCCAAAUGUGGAGCCUUCCUCCAUGUUUCCCCGAACUUAUCUUGCAGUUUCAGGUCAAGCGCUCCGAAAGGAGUAUUUCAAUUACUGAAAUUGCUGCCGCAUAUGUGAAUUUCAAACUCAAAACCACAUAACACAGUAAUAAUACUUUCAGUUUCAUGGAGAUCGACCGAGCAAAGUUCCUCUGCAGCUACGGCGGCGAGAUCAAGUCCAGCGGCAGCAACAACAAGCUCGCCUACGUCGGUGGCACCAAUAAGCUUCUUUAUGUUGAGCGUAGAAUUGACUUCACAGCCAUAGUUGCCGAAAUCUCCAGCCUCUUUGACGGCGCCUGCAACGGCGAUUACUUCUUCAAAUACCAAGUCCCCGGCAGCGAUGACCUCAAUGCUCUCGUCUCCGUCACCAACGACAGAGACCUCCACAACAUGAUGCUCAUGUUCGAUCAACUCUACCGCGAUUCCCCUGGAUUCCCCCGCAUGAGACUAUUCCUCUUCCCAAACCCUAACAAACCUCUCGAUUCGGUUAAGCCAGACUCUAAUGGGCUAUCUUCGAAUCUUUGGAAGCAUGAUGUGUUUAUCAGCUUUAGAGGGAAGGACACUCUUACCGGAUUCACUUCCCAUCUUGUCAAAGCUCUGAAUAAAAAACAUAUAAAAACCUUCAUUGGUGAUGAGCUUCACAAAGGGGAUUGCAUCUCGGAUUCUCUUACAAGAGCUAUUGACAAUUCAUCUGUAUCUAUUGUGAUCUUGUCAGAGAAUUUUGUUACCUCAAGUUGGUGCGUCGAUGAGUUAUUGAAAAUAAUGGAGUGCGGAAGGAAAGUUAUACCUGUGUUUUAUGGUGUGGAUCCAUCUGAUGUACGAAAGCAGCUAGUAAGUUUCAAUGAAAAAUUCAAGUCUCACUUGCAGAGUAACAUUAACAAUCUUCUGAAAUGGCUGGAUGCUCUCGCCAAAGUUGCGGAUUUAGAAGGCUGGGAUUCCAGCUCUUGUAGGGACGACUUUGAACUUGUUGAAAAGAUUGUCAAAGAUGUUUUGCGAAAGCUGAAUAAUCCUUGCCUGCCUAAGGAUAUCAAGGGUGUAGUUGGUAUUAAUAAAAAUCUUGAAAAGUUAGAAUUGUUAUUAAGUUCGGUUCCUGAUGAACAAACUGGAAUAAUCGGGAUUUGUGGAAUGGCAGGAAUAGGCAAGACGACUGUAGUGAAGAAAUUAUUUGAGAAACAUUCUUAUUGGUAUGAAGGUUCCUGUUUCUUAGAAGGUGUUCUGGAAAGAUUGGAAAAGUAUGGGCAGGAGAUAGAUGAGUUGUGUAAUCAACUUCACUCCAAGUUGUUAGAAGGAAAAGACUUCCCAAAUAGCAUGGCAGAUACAAAUUCUGCAAAGUGCUGUCUCUGCAGACAAAGAAGUUUCAUAGUUCUUGAUGAUGUGGGUAGUUCAAAGCAAUUAGAAUACCUAGUUGGAGACCUUCAAUGCUAUGGUGCAGGAAGUAGAAUAAUUGUAAUUACAAGGAACAAGAGUGUGCUGGAAAAAAGAGUUGAAAAAAUUUAUAAGAUGGAGGUGUUAGAUUUUCAAGAUUCCCUUACUCUGUUUAGCUUGAAUGCAUUCAAUCAAAAUUAUCCAAAAACGGGAUACCAAGAGCUAUCAUGGAAAGCAGUUACCUAUUGCAAAGGUGUCCCGUUAAAUUUAAAAGUAUUGGGUUCUUUUCUUCAUUCCAAGAGUGAAACUGAAUGGGAUAGUGCGCUGCAAAAACUCGAGAAGAAUCCUAAUGCAUCAAUUCAAAAUGUGUUAAGAUUGAGUUAUGAUGGGUCAGAUUAUCAGCAGAAUCACAUUGUUUUAGACAUUGCAACAUCUUUUAAGGGAGAGCAAAAAGAACAGAGAAUUGAUGUAUUAAUAAGUUCCCUUCUUGAUGAGGCUCUAUUAGCUAUAUAUGAUCAUUUUGAGUUGUUGCAGGAUUUGAACAAGAAAUGGGGAGGGGAAUCAUUUGUCAGAAAUCUAUCAAGAAUCCUGAAAAUCAUAGCCAUUUGUGGGGUUUUGGUGAUAAUUGUGAUGUUUUGGAAAACAGCAAGGUAUCGGACAUAAUUGUUUUUAGGGUAAAUUACACUAACCUUUCUUGAGGUUAUCUGAUAUUACACUUGGCAUUGCUGAUUUGUCAUAUUUACAUUAGCAUCCCUUAAUGUUAUGUUUAUAGGAUAUGCCAAUUUCGCAUAUCAUCAGAGCCACGUUUGUCAAAAAAUAAAAAGGAACUCAUUCAAUUGAAGGAGUAAUAAAGUUAUGUCUCAAACUUGAUAAAAGCUAUGAUGAGUACUGGCACUUUCAAUCAUCUCCCCAAUUAAACUUUGAAGAUUAUGUGAUCUGCAGCUUCCUAUGUGAUUGGAGUCAUUUACUGAUAUAAAAAAGAAAAAAAAAAAGAAAAAGAGAAAGAACACGUGUGUUUAGAAGCUUGUUACUUUGCAUGGCAAAAGGUCAACUUAAACGACUUUGGGAUAGGGUGCAGGUUUGUAUAUAUACAUUAUGCACAUAUAUGUAUAUAAUCUGUGCUUUACCUUUCAGUUGAACAUUGUAUCUGAUUUAUUAUUAUUAUUAUUAUUAUUAUUAUUAUUAUUAUUAUUAUUAUUAUUAUUAUUA